RNAcentral lists this ribosomal RNA (334 nucleotides) under uncultured cyanobacterium. Its description in RNAcentral is "bacterial SSU rRNA". It matches the Rfam family "Bacterial small subunit ribosomal RNA", at positions 568 to 898 of the family's 1533-position model. The record is from RNAcentral. Lineage: Bacteria; Bacillati; Cyanobacteriota.
CUCGUAGGCGGUUCGAUAAGUCGGGUGUGAAACCUCCAGGCUCAACCUGGAGACGCCACCCGAUACUGUCGUGACUAGAGUCCAGUAGGGGAGCGUGGAAUUCCUGGUGUAGCGGUGAAAUGCGCAGAUAUCAGGAGGAACACCAGCGGCGAAGGCGGCGCUCUGGGCUGGAACUGACGCUGAGGAGCGAAAGCGUGGGGAGCGAACAGGAUUAGAUACCCUGGUAGUCCACGCCGUAAACGUUGGGUACUAGGUGUGGGGUCUUAUCAACGGAUUCCGUGCCGAAGCUAACGCAUUAAGUACCCCGCCUGGGGAGUACGGCCGCAAGGCUAAA